This 815-nucleotide ribosomal RNA is filed under the name uncultured bacterium. Its description in RNAcentral is "bacterial SSU rRNA". It matches the Rfam family "Bacterial small subunit ribosomal RNA", at positions 70 to 883 of the family's 1533-position model. The record is from RNAcentral.
CAGCGCGGGGCAACCUGGCGGCGAGUGGCGAACGGGUGAGUAAUAUAUCGGAACGUACCCAAGAGUGGGGGAUAACGCAGCGAAAGUUGCGCUAAUACCGCAUACGAUCUAAGGAUGAAAGCAGGGGACCGCAAGGCCUUGUGCUCCUGGAGCGGCCGAUAUCUGAUUAGCUAGUUGGUGAGGUAAAGGCUCACCAAGGCGACGAUCAGUAGCUGGUCUGAGAGGACGACCAGCCACACUGGAACUGAGACACGGUCCAGACUCCUACGGGAGGCAGCAGUGGGGAAUUUCGGAUUGUGGUAGCAAGCCUGAUCCAGCAAUGCCGCGUGAGUGAAGAAGGCCUUCGGGUUGUAAAGCUCUUUUGUCAGGGAAGAAACGGCUGUGGCUAAUAUCCACGGCUAAUGACGGUACCUGAAGAAUAAGCACCGGCUAACUACGUGCCAGCAGCCGCGGUAAUACGUAGGGUGCAAGCGUUACUCGGAAUUACUGGGCGUAAAGCGUGCGCAGGCGGCUUUGUAAGUCUGACGUGAAAUCCCCGGGCUUAACCUGGGAAUUGCGUUGGAGACUGCAAGGCUAGAAUCUGGCAGAGGGGGGUAGAAUUCCACGUGUAGCAGUGAAAUGCGUAGAGAUGUGGAGGAACACCGAUGGCGAAGGCAGCCCCCUGGGUCAAGAUUGACGCUCAUGCACGAAAGCGUGGGGAGCAAACAGGAUUAGAUACCCUGGUAGUCCACGCCCUAAACGAUGUCUACUAGUUGUCGGGUCUUAAUUGACUUGGUAACGCAGCUAACGCGUGAAGUAGACCGCCUGGGGAGUAC